GACGAACGCUGGCGGCGCGCCUAACACAUGCAAGUCGAGCGAGAACCAGGGCUUCGGCUCUGGGGACAGCGGCGAACGGGUGAGUAACACGUGGGUAAUCUGCCCUCGGUAUCGGGAUAGCCCGGGGAAACCCGGAUUAAUACCGAAUAGCCUCCGAAGCUCUCGGGCGUCGGAGAAAAGGUGGCUUCGGCUUCCGACUGAGGAUGAGCCCGCGGCGGAUUAGCUUGUUGGUGAGGUAACGGCUCACCAAGGCUACGAUCCGUAGCUGGUCUGAGAGGACGAUCAGCCACACUGGGACUGAGACACGGCCCAGACUCCUACGGGAGGCAGCAGUGGGGAAUCUUGCGCAAUGGGCGAAAGCCUGACGCAGCGACGCCGCGUGCGGGAAGAA
This 391-nucleotide ribosomal RNA is filed under the name uncultured bacterium. RNAcentral's name for it is "bacterial SSU rRNA". It matches the Rfam family "Bacterial small subunit ribosomal RNA", at positions 28 to 412 of the family's 1533-position model. The record is from RNAcentral.